Molecule: transfer RNA, 68 nt
Filed under: Bannacoris arboreus
Lineage: Eukaryota; Metazoa; Arthropoda; Insecta; Hemiptera; Urostylididae
Description: tRNA-Arg
Source: RNAcentral
AGAUAAUGAAGUAAAAAUUACAUUUAGUUUCGACCUAAUAAUAAAGAGAAUUAUACUCUUCUUAUCUA